RNAcentral lists this non-coding RNA (29 nucleotides) under Homo sapiens (human). The record is from RNAcentral. Lineage: Eukaryota; Metazoa; Chordata; Mammalia; Primates; Hominidae.
UAUGUUGAAUAGUGAUUGCCUUUAAGUGU